UACGUAGGGGGCUAGCGUUGUUCGGAUUUAUUGGGCGUAAAGAGCGUGUAGGCGGCCAAGUAGGUCCGGUGUGAAAACUCGAGGCUUAACCUCGAGAUGUCAUCGGAAACCAUUUGGCUAGAGUCCGGAAGAGGAAAGUGGAAUUCCUGGUGUAGCGGUGAAAUGCGCAGAUAUCAGGAGGAACACCGAUGGCGAAGGCAGGUCUCUGGGCCACUACUGACGCUGAGAAGCGAAAGCAUGGGGAGCGAACAGG
This 253-nucleotide ribosomal RNA is filed under the name uncultured bacterium. Its description in RNAcentral is "partial 16S ribosomal RNA". It matches the Rfam family "Bacterial small subunit ribosomal RNA", at positions 524 to 776 of the family's 1533-position model. The record is from RNAcentral.